UACGUAGGUGGCAAGCGUUGUCCGGAUUUAUUGGGUUUAAAGGGUGCGUAGGCGGCCUUAUAAGUCAGUGCUGAAAUACUCUAGCUUAACUAGAGGGGUGGCAUUGAUACUGCAAGGCUUGAGUACAGUCGAGGUAGGCGGAAUUGACGGUGUAGCGGUGAAAUGCUUAGAUAUCGUCAAGAACACCGAUAGUGUAGACAGCUUACUAGGCUGUAACUGACGCUGAGGCACGAAAGUGUGGGGAUCAAACAGG
Molecule: ribosomal RNA, 253 nt
Filed under: uncultured bacterium
Lineage: Bacteria
Also listed under: 1 other name
Description: partial 16S ribosomal RNA
Rfam family: Bacterial small subunit ribosomal RNA
Source: RNAcentral